Molecule: ribosomal RNA, 478 nt
Filed under: uncultured bacterium
Lineage: Bacteria
Description: partial 16S ribosomal RNA
Rfam family: Bacterial small subunit ribosomal RNA
Source: RNAcentral
GACGAACGCUGGCGGCGUGCUUAACACAUGCAAGUCGAACGGUAAGGCCCUUCGGGGUACACGAGUGGCGAACGGGUGAGUAACACGUGGGUGAUCUGCCCUGCACUUCGGGAUAAGCCUGGGAAACUGGGUCUAAUACCGGAUAGGACCACUGCCUGCAUGGGUGGUGGUGGAAAGCUUUUGCGGUGUGGGAUGGGCCCGCGGCCUAUCAGCUUGUUGGUGGGGUGAUGGCCUACCAAGGCGACGACGGGUAGCCGGCCUGAGAGGGUGUCCGGCCGCACUGGGACUGAGAUACGGCCCAGAAUCCUACGUGAGGCAGCAGUGGGGAAUAUUGCACAAUGGGCGCAAGCCUGAUGCAGCGACGCCGCGUGGGGGAUGACGGCCUUCGGGUUGUAAACCUCUUUCAGCACAGACGAAGCGCAAGUGACGGUAUGUGCAGAAGAAGGACCGGCCAACUACGUGCCAGCAGCCGCCGUAA